GAAGUGCAAGCACAUUUCACAAAUCCACAAUCUGUAAGUAUCACAUCCUGUGUGGCUAUAAACUCUGGACUGAGGAAGGGCUGGUGAUUUUCAAAAGGUGAAGACCAGUAGAAAAUUCUACAGGACUGUGUGAGAACCGAGAAUCUCCUGGGAGUUUGAGAGACCUCAGCUGCAACCAACAGGCUGGUCCACGGGCACAGGGUUCGUGGCACAAUCAUGCUAUCACGGUCCAUGACCAAUGAGGCCACUGCAGUUCUGACACCAAAUGGCAUCAGCUUCCCCCAAACAGGGGAACCUAAACCCACCAACCAGAGGCAAUACAACCUCAAGAAACAACUAAAGGCAGAGGUCAAAGUUCUUGGGGCUAUUCAGAUCCUGUGCGGGGUGAUGGUGUUGAGUUUGGGGAUCAUUUUGGUAUCUGUUCCGUCCUCUCCAUCCUUUACCCCAGUGUUUUCCACCCUUUUGAAGGCUGCUUACCCAUUCAUGGGAGGCUUGUGUUUUGUCAUUUCUGGAACUCUGUCAGUCAUCAUGGAGAAAAAGUCAACUAAGCCUUUGGUUCAGAGCAGCGUGGUUGCAAACAUUCUGAGCUCUCUAUGCGCUCUGGUGGGUUUCAUUCUCCUCUCUGUCACUUUGGAUGCUGUGGAUCCUGCCUUUCGGAAGUGUACCUUCAACAAAGAGCAAAGAAAACCUGAAUGGACUACAUUUAACUAUUAUAUUAACCCAUAUAUGGACAAAGAAUGCAUCACGGCCAAAACCACUCUGACUGGAACUCUGUCUGUGAUGCUGAUUUACACGGCGCUGGAGUUCUGCCUGGCUGCGCUCUCUGCCGUGAUUUGGUGGAAAGAGGCUCACUCCGACUUCCCUGGGCGUGUGCUUUUCCUGCCUCAGAGUUGCAAGAAUAAAUCCAGCACACCCUCAAAGGCAUUUCGUGACCCUGGAUACGAAGAACUAGUAACUUCUUAGGGGAAAUAGUCAUCAGAAAUUUGGCUUUAUGAUACUGUAUGAAGACCAGCCAGAGAAACUCAAGAAAGCAAAGUUUGAGUUCCCUGAAAUGUAGCGUUUAGAGGCCAGGGGGGUGGACUGAAAGUUCCAAUCCUCUCAUCAAUCAUAAGAGGGCCAAGGGCAGGGGGCAACUCCAUGAAAGAUAUGAAACACAAGGUUGCAAACCAGAACAGCUUGCUACUUAAAACCCACUGGCAGCCUGGGAUAGACAUCAAGAUUAUUAAAUAACUUCGAUGAAUUGUCUCAGUAACAUGACGUGAGAAAAUCCUUAUGAGGUCACAGAAACGUUGCUAUUCCUAAAUCACAGCUGAAGAAAUAGAAACUCGGAGAAUGUACCUGAAUUGUCCAAAGCCACCGAGCAAAUAACAGGAAGUCGCGAUUCACGCAAGGGUGUGCCUGACCUUAAGGUAUGCAUUCUUCCAGUCCAAUCCACAGCUCUUUUUUGCAGAUAUGUCAGAAACAACGGAGGCGUCCGCUCUACAGUGGUGAACAUCUUGGGCUUCUAGAAAGUAAUGAGUGAUGCCGUUGCUACCGAGGGGACUGCUGGGGGCAUUUCAACAAAUGAAAUUCAAAGUGCGCAGGUGGGACGAGCAGACGCACCCGAUUUAGCUCAACGUGUACACAGCAAGCUGCGUGAUUUCCUUAAAAAGAAUCUGCAAUCCCUGGGUGUAAGUUACCUUUAGCCCUGUAGACGUUAGGGGGUGAGUAUGGAAAAUUAAAUGGUCUACAACUUUAUUGGGGCUGAAUUAUUUUAUGCCAGCUCAUAAGACUGGGUAAAAAGUGGGUAGGAAAAUAUAUCUGGGAGUACACUUAGAUCAGAUGUUUUGCUUUGAAGGUGUUUCAGGCUCCCAGAGUUCAAAUGGGAUGUUUGUGCCCAAAUAUAAUAUCCCCAUGACGUAAUAUCCAUCCACAGGGCCUGGGAAACCAACACCAUUUUUUUUUUUUUUUUUGGAUUUCACUCUUCCGAGGAUUAUUUUUAAGACCCAGUGAAGGUGGAAAAGAUAAAAAUGCGAUUCAUAUGUGGCCUUGAGAUCGAGGGAGAAAAGUCUGUAAUGUAGAGAGUUUUUCCACUUCCCCCCUGUAUUCUAUUUUUGUUCCUCCAGGUAGCUCAGAUAAUGAUUGGCCUGAAAUGUUUCUUAUUUGGGAUCAUUGAGAUUUUUCUUUACUGGCACUCUGACUUCAGGAAUCUUUUAUUCUGCUUUUAUAUUGGUUACCCGUUCUGGGCUGCAGCAUCUUUCAUCAUGUCUGGAUCUUUGACCAUCUCAUGUACAAGAAAACAAACAAAAUUUCUGAUCGAAGUCAGUAUUGGAGCUAACAUUAUCAGCACACUACUUUCAAGCACUGGGAUAAUUCUUCUCUCCGUGAAUUUAGUUGACAUAGUCUUACUUGAAUGCUGGGAGUUACCGGCAUGUUCGUUGGUUAAAUCUUUUAUAACUGUAAGUACUAAUUUGUUGGAUGGUGUCUUCACACGUGAUGUUUGUUUUCAGUUACCUCAGCCCUCAGCGACUAAAAGCCUAUGAUGAAGUUUCUAAAGGUUGAAAAGUGAUAGGAAAACAAAUAAAUAUAAACAUGACAUUUGUUUUAAAAAAAAGUGAAACAACCUGAUUUCAGAAUUGCAGAAUUAUGUGUGUGCAUUUCUGUGUGUCAUUUUAAGAACACAUAUUCUUAUUAUUCCAGAUUUUCUCUGAUGAACAUGGGCUGUUCUAAAAAAAAAAUGAUAAAAAGACUGCUCACAGAUCAGUGUGCCCAGAGAGGAGGGACCUGAUCUGGAACAUUGAGGACUGGCCUAUGGAUUUCUGGUAGUGAAAAUGAUACAAAAUUUGGGAGCUGGUCUGAGUCAUCUUAAUGUUAAUUUAAAAGAUCAAUGGAGGGGCGCCUGGGUGGCUCAGUCAGUUGAGCAUCUGACUCUUGAUUUCAGCUCAGGUCAUGAUCCCAGGCUCAUGAGAUUGAGCCCUGCAUCAGGCUCUGCACUGAGUGUGGAGCCUGCUUGGGAUUCUCUCUCUCUCUUCCUCUGCCUCUCUCCCCAUGCUCUCUCUCUAUCUCUCUAAAAUAAAAAAACUAAAAAAUAAAUAAAAAAAUAAAAGACCAAUGGAAUGUUAGUAAAUCCAUCCUUUCUGUGAGUAAAGUUGAGUCACAUGAUGUGUGUAUGUGUAUGAAUGUGUGUGUAUGUGUGUGUGAGAGAGAGAGAGAGAGAGAGAGAGAGAGAGGGAGAGAGAGAGAGAAAAGUCCUGGUGUAUUCAGUGUUUGACCAAUGCGUGUGAAAAAAUGGCUGAAAUAGGAGUAACUAACUCUAGAAUGUUAAGGGAGUUCUUUUGCAGAGCUCUGCCAUUUAGAAUUCCUAUAACUCAUAUUUGUUUCUGUAGGAGUUUAUUUAUGGUUGCUCGCUGAGGCAAGGUUUGUGCCAGAUCCAAUAUUGUGUCUCAAUGGAAUGGGCAUAUCUUGGAUAGGAAGUGCAUUGUCCUCAAAAUAUCCACUAACCCUGGCCCCUUGCCCCCCCCCCCCCCCCAGACAACCAGGAUGAGCACAUUGCAGACUAAAGCUGGUUGGGGAAAUCUUAAUUCUUGCCCUUCUCUUCUGUAGAAUAUUGUGAUCCUUCAAAUGAUACUGACUUGUGUGCAGAUUUUUAUUUCGUUCUCACUCUGUGGGCUCACUUAUACCGUGGAUGGCAAUGAGAUCAGCUGGGCUUCUGCACUAAGUUGCUUGAUCAGAUCACAUUCUGAAGAUCCUUAUCAAGACUUACUGACUCAACCUGAAACUUACGAAGAUUUAGUGCUUCAAGACAUAGACCAGGUUCACUCUCAUCCAUGAGACACCAUCGAAACAUUUUUUACCACACCAGGGCGUCUUGGAUCCAUGAUGGCAACCAAAGACAGAUCUGAUAGGAAUCUUCUACAAAUCCCCUGUUCCCCAUGUCUUUUAUUACGCACUUUCACAUACACAGACACAAUUAGCAUGGAUAUGUGCUUACUUUGACAGGUGACCAGCAAAUACUAAUAUUAGCAUUCCGUGGCCUAAUAGACUUCUUUUCAUUGGGACGGUAUUACCAUUUUUGAGCCAAUUUCAGUUCUUAGGCCUCAGAGAGGAAUUUGUUGUUACCCACUUACUCCUUCCUAGAAACUGUACUUCCCUCUGGGUUGACAGUUUAUUCAAGUGAAAAAUCUUUGUGCAAAUAGUUUGGGUGAGUAGUGGCAUACCAUCUGACACUGGGUCCAAUCUAAGUUUCUUUGACUGUUGAAUGUACUAGGUCUCCCUUUCUUGUGUCAAGGUGAACUUGACAAAAUGUAAUGCGAUACAAAAUGCACACUCUAAUGUAUGACACAUAGUAAAAAUCUAAUGCAACCUCA
This is an RNA transcript of Neofelis nebulosa (Clouded leopard), 4346 nucleotides long. It is a transcript of the gene named membrane-spanning 4-domains subfamily A member 6D-like, with no coding region annotated. Lineage: Eukaryota; Metazoa; Chordata; Mammalia; Carnivora; Felidae. The transcript has 14 exons. The record is from RefSeq and is a predicted model, not a curated record.